UUUGAUAGAGGUGCGGCAGGUCAAUAGUAGCGCUGUUUUAAGUCGGCAGACGGCGGCGUGAAAGGGGCGGCCGCCGAAACGCUGCUUUUGCUGCCGCGGAAGCUCCGUUGGUCUGUUGCAGAAUAUGUAACCGACUGUCACAAAAGUGGAGCGCUAUCGUU
Molecule: non-coding RNA, 161 nt
Filed under: pig gut metagenome
Description: Lysine riboswitch
Rfam family: Lysine riboswitch aptamer
About the family: Riboswitches are metabolite binding domains within certain messenger RNAs that serve as precision sensors for their corresponding targets. Allosteric rearrangement of mRNA structure is mediated by ligand binding, and this results in modulation of gene expression.
Source: RNAcentral